UACGAAGGGGGCGAGCGUUGUUCGGAUUUACUGGGCGGAAAGGGCGCGCAGGCGGCUCAUUUUGUCAGGCGUGAAAGCCCCGGGCUUAACCUGGGAACUGCGUUUGAUACAGAUGGGCUAGAGUUCGGGAGAGGAGAGCGGAAUUCCCAGUGUAGCGGUGAAAUGCGUAGAUAUCUGGAGGAACACCGGUGGCGAAGGCGGCAUCCUGGACCAACACUGACGCUGAGGAGCGAAAGCCAGGGGAGCAAACGGG
Molecule: ribosomal RNA, 253 nt
Filed under: uncultured bacterium
Lineage: Bacteria
Description: partial 16S ribosomal RNA
Rfam family: Bacterial small subunit ribosomal RNA
Source: RNAcentral